CCUACGGGAGGCUGCAGUGAGGAAUAUUGGUCAAUGGGCGGAAGCCUGAACCAGCCAAGUAGCGUGCAGGAUGACGGCCCUACGGGUUGUAAACCGCUUUUGCACGGGGAUAACACCCUCCACUUGUGGAGGUCUGCAGGUACCGUUCGAAUAAGGGCCGGCUAAUUCCGUGCCAGCAGCCGCGGUAAUACGGAAGGCCCGAGCGUUAUCCGGAUUCAUUGGGCUAAAAGGGAGCGUAGGCGGGCGUUCAAGUCAGCUGUAAAAUCGCGCGGCUCAACCGCGCCCCGCAGUUGAAACUGGACGCCUUGAGUUCACAACAGGCAGGCGGAAUUCGUGGUGUAGCGGUGAAAUGCAUAGAUAUCACGAGGAACCCCGAUUGCGAAGGCAGCCUGCCGGGGUGCGACUGACGCUGAGGCUCGAAGGUGCGGGUAUCAAACAGGAUUAGAUACCCUGGUAGUC
RNAcentral lists this ribosomal RNA (459 nucleotides) under uncultured bacterium. RNAcentral describes it as "partial 16S ribosomal RNA". It matches the Rfam family "Bacterial small subunit ribosomal RNA", at positions 338 to 795 of the family's 1533-position model. The record is from RNAcentral.